UCCACUAUUACCUCGUCUCGCGAAUGAUAAUCAAGAACAAAUCAAAAAGGCAUAGGUAGGAUGCCUUUUCGUUCCAGCACCAAGUUCAUAAGAAAAUUUGAUACAAAGCUAUCAAUGAUGACAAUUUUGAAGGCAAAACAUGAUUCUCAAUUUUCAUUAUAACUCACGGCAUAAGGAAAGAUUCAUGGUAGAAUGCCCGAAAAGACGAUAAGCUUUAUCCCUUGACACAACUUUGUGGAAAAAUACUGACCUUGCACGCUUCUUUCUUUCUGAUCCUAGCCAACCCUCUGAACCAGAAGAU
Molecule: long non-coding RNA, 301 nt
Filed under: Elaeis guineensis (African oil palm)
Lineage: Eukaryota; Viridiplantae; Streptophyta; Magnoliopsida; Arecales; Arecaceae
Description: long non-coding RNA (EGUI_LNC017266)
Source: RNAcentral